GCAGCUCUCAACAAAUAUCGGAUAAAUAGUGAAUGAAUCUAAAGAUGCAUUUCCUCUGGACUCUUCUAUCUGGAAGAAAAGAUUCCUGGAUUUCUGACCAUCUGAUCUCCCAGGCCAGAACUUACCUGCUAAGCCCGUGUCUUCUGAGCUGACCUAGAAGCCUAGGGGCCAUUCCAC
Physeter macrocephalus (sperm whale) is the source of this 177-nucleotide long non-coding RNA. RefSeq lists it as uncharacterized. The record is from RefSeq and is a predicted model, not a curated record. The transcript is spliced from 3 exons. NCBI's taxonomy places the organism in Eukaryota, Metazoa, Chordata, Mammalia, Artiodactyla, Physeteridae.